RNAcentral lists this transfer RNA (74 nucleotides) under Enteromius fasciolatus (African banded barb). Its description in RNAcentral is "tRNA-Thr". It matches the Rfam family "tRNA". Rfam says of the family: Transfer RNA (tRNA) molecules are approximately 80 nucleotides in length. Their secondary structure includes four short double-helical elements and three loops (D, anti-codon, and T loops). The record is from RNAcentral. Lineage: Eukaryota; Metazoa; Chordata; Actinopteri; Cypriniformes; Cyprinidae.
GCCCUAGUAGCUUAGCCUAAUAAAGCAUCGGUCUUGUAAUCCGAAGAUCGGAGGUUAAAUUCCUCCCUAGCGCC